This 391-nucleotide unclassified non-coding RNA is filed under the name Hevea brasiliensis (rubber tree). The record is from RNAcentral. Lineage: Eukaryota; Viridiplantae; Streptophyta; Magnoliopsida; Malpighiales; Euphorbiaceae.
UUGCAAUACUGAAGAGGAAAGGAAAAAGUUACUUCGAUGUUCCUGUUGUGAGCAACUUUUUCAUCCUGCAUGUCUCGACCCUCCUCUCUUGGAUACAGAAACUGCAGAAUGGUCAUGUCAGUCUUGCAAGGAAAAGACCGAUGAGUAUCUUAAAGAAAGAAAAGCUGUUAUAGCUGAACUUUUGAAAAGGUAUGAUGCUGCUUCGGAUCGUAAGUCUAAUUUGUUGGCAAUUAUUCGUUCAUUGAAUCUUCCAAACAAUCCUUUGGAUGAUAUUAUCGAUCAGCUUGGUGGCCCUGAUAAGGUAGCGGAAAUAACUGGAAGAAGGGGAAUGCUUGUAAGGGCCCCCAACGGAAAGGGUGUUACUUACCAGCCACGAAACUCGAAGGAUGUG